RNAcentral lists this long non-coding RNA (1201 nucleotides) under Monodelphis domestica (gray short-tailed opossum). Its description in RNAcentral is "lncRNA (ENSMODG00000030668.2)". The record is from RNAcentral. Lineage: Eukaryota; Metazoa; Chordata; Mammalia; Didelphimorphia; Didelphidae.
GAGAAGGAAGGAAUAAAGAAGUGGAUUCAUAAUAGGGAAGGAAAUGGCAGCCCAAAGAUGAAGAUACAUGUUCCUAAGGGACAAAAUGUGCUUUCCAUGUAGAAGUCAUCCUUUCUUCAAAGUCUCUUGAAUAUAACUGAAUACCUUUCAAGAAGUGAAUGUGGAGAAAACAGAGACUUUUUCCAAAAGUUGAGGUCCAGUUCCCUACAAAAGACCUUCACCCAAAGGUCCAGUCAAGUUUAUAAUUUUCCAUCACUGGAUUUUAUCAUCGUGGGAAGAAGAUUACUGGUCCAAAGCCAUGCAGAUACCCCACUCUAAUCAGGCUUUGGAUAAGCUGAGGAAAAUUAUCACUCAAAUUGUCCGGGCCGCCCAUCCCUCACCCCCUGAAUGUGACCUGCCCCCUUUUGCAGAUGAACCAGGAGAUCUUGUGUGGGUUCGGAAUAUUCCUGCAGGGGCUCUUGAACCACGGUGGACUGGACCUUACGUGAUGAUAUUGACCACCCCUAGAGCUGUAAAGGUUGCAGGAAAGAAAUGUUGGGUCCACGUGUCUCAACUGAAACCUGUUAAACCAAGAGUAGAGCAAGAAGCAGAGCAGUGGAAGGUCACCAAAACUUCGGAUCCCUUAAAGAUCAAGAUUCAUAGACAUUGAACACUAUGGGAAAGGGAGGAUGGGGUGGAGCUAUGCUUGCACUUGUACUUUUGGGAUUUUCGGAAAUUAGUCUACCCUUCCAAGUAAUUCAAUACUGAUGGGUAAUCAGUAGGACAAGGGAUGGGAAGGAAUUAAUUAGUGACAGACCAACCCGGGAGGAUAAAACCCCCCAAAUCCUUUUUGAUUUGUGUGAUUUAUUUGGGAGUGAAUGGACAUCCCUCAGACCCUUUCAUGCGCAACCCCAUCGGGGACUCUGUAUCUAUCAGAAGCUCCUGUCUAUGCUUGCCCAUCUACAGGGCCACUGUCAUGCAAAAAAGGGGGAGAAUUCUAUUGUGCAGCCUGGGGAUGUGGAACUGUUGCCCCAUGGCAGCAGGAGGACCCCAAUAGAUAUCAUACUGCAAAGGGGGCGAAGUAGGGUCUGGGACAUCCCCCCUCGAUUUCAGGAAUCCCCUUUCCCUGACUAUUAAAAAAACCCAGAGGAUAAAGGCCAGACAUGGGGACUUAGGCUGGAUGUGGGAGGCCAGGACCCAGGAACAGAAUUUACAGAACAAA